AAGGCUUGACAUAUACCGAAAAGCAGCAGAGAUGUUGUGUCCGCAAGGGCGGUAUACAGGUGGUGCAUGGUUGUCGUCAGCUCGUGUCGUGAGAUGUUGGGUUAAGUCCCGCAACGAGCGCAACCCUCGUUCUGUGUUGCCAGCAUUUAGUUGGGGACUCACAGGAGACUGCCGUGGUUAACACGGAGGAAGGUGGGGAUGACGUCAAAUCAUCAUGCCCCUUAUGUCUUGGGCUGCACGCAUGCUACAAUGGCAGAUACAAAGGGCUGCAAUACCGUAAGGUGGAGCGAAUCCCAAAAAGUCUGUCUCAGUUCGGAUUGAGGUCUGCAACUCGACCUCAUGAAGUCGGAGUUGCUAGUAAUCGUAGAUCAGCAACGUAC
RNAcentral lists this ribosomal RNA (380 nucleotides) under uncultured Actinomycetes bacterium. RNAcentral's name for it is "bacterial SSU rRNA". It matches the Rfam family "Bacterial small subunit ribosomal RNA", at positions 976 to 1360 of the family's 1533-position model. The record is from RNAcentral. Lineage: Bacteria; Bacillati; Actinomycetota; Actinomycetes.